CUGGCUCAGGACGAACGCUGGCGGCGUGCCUAAUACAUGCAAGUCGAGCGAACAGAGAAGGAGCUUGCUCCUUCGACGUUAGCGGCGAACGGGUGAGUAACACGUGGGCAACCUACCUUAUAGUUUGGGAUAACUCCGGGAAACCGGGGCUAAUACCGAAUAAUCUGUU
RNAcentral lists this ribosomal RNA (169 nucleotides) under Lysinibacillus sp. TC-37. RNAcentral describes it as "16S rRNA. Bacterial SSU". It matches the Rfam family "Bacterial small subunit ribosomal RNA", at positions 19 to 182 of the family's 1533-position model. Lineage: Bacteria; Bacillati; Bacillota; Bacilli; Caryophanales; Bacillaceae. The record is from RNAcentral.